UACAGGGGUCUCGAGCGUUAAUCGGAAUCACUGGGCUUAAAGGGUGCGUAGGCGGAUCCGUAAGAGCUUUGUGAAAUCCCCCGGCUCAACCGGGGAAUUGCAGGGCGAACUGCGGAUCUUGAGGAAACUAGAGGCCGGUAGAACGAUUGGUGGAGCGGUGGAAUGCGUAGAUAUCAAUCGGAAUGCCAAAAGUGAAGACAGCCGGCUGGGGUUUUCCUGACGCUGAGGCACGAAAGCGUGGGGAGCAAACCGG
RNAcentral lists this ribosomal RNA (253 nucleotides) under uncultured bacterium. RNAcentral's name for it is "partial 16S ribosomal RNA". It matches the Rfam family "Bacterial small subunit ribosomal RNA", at positions 524 to 776 of the family's 1533-position model. The record is from RNAcentral.